UUUUUAUCACUUUAUAACUAUUAUAUUGUUGUAAUUGAGAAAAUGGGUUGUAAUAAUUGAACACUUGGACUGUGCUAAAUAAUUUUGAACCAUUUAGAUCAUGUAUUUGUACUAUCUCGCAUUUCAGUAGGAUAAAUCGUAGUACUAAUAAUGGUAGAUUGUUCAAAUCCUUACGUUUACUUUAAUAGUGAAGAUAUUAUGUGUAUACAUGUUUGGGUUCGCACUGACAGGAUUAAUGGUUGAGAUACAGAGGUUCACCCAGAAUCUUGCCCUGUUAGACGUUUGGCAUGCUAAAAUGAUAAGAUACAUGCAUUAAAAAAAUAAUUUAGAAGAGCUGAAAAUUCGUGAUUUAGGGAAUGCUACUUUUUUUCAUCCUUGAUUAACCGUUUGAUUUACAUUUCUAGGCUCAAUGAGAAAGCCCAAAAAAAAUCAGGCGUAGUUAAGAGGCGCAGAAAAGUACACUUCUUGGGUUCGCUUCUGCCAAAAAAGAGCCUAGUUUCAAAAAUUAGCAACUGAAGCGGUCUGGAAUUGACCUGCUUCAAUAUAAUGAUGCAAUGUUUUUAGUAAUAGACUAUUCAGCUUAGGCAUUUCCCUUAUUAUAUAGACAAAGGAAAAAAGUAGUAGCUCGCUUUAGGAAUGGCGUUUGUUUAAAAUAAAAACGAGUGUGUCAUGCCAAACAGAAUCUAAAAUUGUGUGGCCCUCGUGAAAUGUCUAUAUUAAAAUUCUUAGAGAUUCGGAUACG
This 742-nucleotide long non-coding RNA is filed under the name Nicotiana benthamiana. RNAcentral describes it as "long non-coding RNA (NBEN_LNC039270)". Lineage: Eukaryota; Viridiplantae; Streptophyta; Magnoliopsida; Solanales; Solanaceae. The record is from RNAcentral.